This 298-nucleotide ribosomal RNA is filed under the name uncultured gamma proteobacterium B2M52. RNAcentral describes it as "partial 16S ribosomal RNA". It matches the Rfam family "Bacterial small subunit ribosomal RNA", at positions 1107 to 1405 of the family's 1533-position model. The record is from RNAcentral. Lineage: Bacteria; Pseudomonadati; Pseudomonadota; Gammaproteobacteria.
GUCCCUAGUUGCCAGCGAUUCGGUCGGGAACUCUAGGGAGACUGCCGGUGACAAACCGGAGGAAGGUGGGGACGACGUCAAGUCAUCAUGGCCCUUAUGGGCUGGGCUACACACGUGCUACAAUGGGGGGUACAGAGGGCCGCCAACCAGCAAUGGUGAGCCAAUCCCUUAAAGCCUCUCGUAGUCCGGAUCGGAGUCUGCAACUCGACUCCGUGAAGUCGGAAUCGCUAGUAAUCGCGAAUCAGAAUGUCGCGGUGAAUACGUUCCCGGGUCUUGUACACACCGCCCGUCACACCAU